Molecule: long non-coding RNA, 632 nt
Filed under: Olea europaea subsp. europaea
Lineage: Eukaryota; Viridiplantae; Streptophyta; Magnoliopsida; Lamiales; Oleaceae
Source: RNAcentral
CCAACACCUCAUUCAAAAUCCAAUUCACAAAAUCAUCCAACAUCACAAUCAAAAUCAAGUCACAAGAUCACUGAUCACCCAAACACUCAACAUCAUAAAACUACAACAAAAUCACCACAAAAUCUAUGUGCCUAACUUACUGCAAUAAGGACCAUUUCAAUUUUGCAACUUGAAAUUGAUUCACAUGAGAUUGUACUCUAACAAGCGAUUUUCUCACUCCACGAGCUGAUCUCAUUUACAUUCAAAGGUAAAAUCCUACCAGCCAUGCCCAGUUAACCAAGAACCCCUUUUCUCUGUCUCUAGAAGAAUCAAAUCAUUCAAGCUUACUAAAUGACCCCGAAUUUAUACCCACGAAAAUUGGUUUCUCUUCAAUCAAAUCGUGGGCUUGAGUCAUUAUGUGAGAAACCAAGCUGCUCAUGGUAAAGAUUUCAACAACGACAAUGGAGAUGGUGCGGGCUCUUUUGUGGGAGGAGGCUUAUUUCUGGGUACUACCGCGCGACUAGGACAUUUUGCAAGGGCCAUCGUGAGUCCAGUGUUGACAAUAGGACUUGCAAAAGUGACAAGGCUAUGACAUGUUGCAGUUGUUGUAGCACAACUUUGAUAGUGGGCGGCGAUCGACGGUAAUAAGGUUG